UACGUAGGGGGCUAGCGUUGUCCGGAAUCAUUGGGCGUAAAGAGCGUGUAGGCGGUCCGGUAAGUCCGCUGUGAAAGUCGGGGGCUCAACCCUCGAAUGCCGGUGGAUACUGUCGGGCUAGAGUGCGGAAGAGGCGAGUGGAAUUCCUGGUGUAGCGGUGAAAUGCGCAGAUAUCAGGAGGAACACCUAUUGCGAAGGCAGCUCGCUGGGACGUAACUGACGCUGAGACGCGAAAGCGUGGGGAGCGAACGGG
This 253-nucleotide ribosomal RNA is filed under the name uncultured bacterium. RNAcentral describes it as "partial 16S ribosomal RNA". It matches the Rfam family "Bacterial small subunit ribosomal RNA", at positions 524 to 776 of the family's 1533-position model. The record is from RNAcentral.